Molecule: long non-coding RNA, 148 nt
Organism: Grammomys surdaster
Lineage: Eukaryota; Metazoa; Chordata; Mammalia; Rodentia; Muridae
Exons: 3
Source: RefSeq, a predicted model, not a curated record
CUCUAGUGUACCUGGAAAGAGAAAGCUGUAGAUCAGGACCAUCUGGCCAAUAGGACAAACUGUUGAAGGACAACCUUGAUUACUGCACUGUGGACUGAUCCAAGGGAGGAGUGCCACGGCUGUGGAAAAAGGCCUGCCCACGCUCUGG